ACUCAGUAACACGUAGGAAUCUACCCUAAAGAUGGGCAUAGCCCGCCGAAAGGCGGGAUAAUUCCCAAUGGUGUGUGGCUUUAAAACCACACUAAAGGUGCAAACCGCUUUAGGAUGAGCCUGCGGCCUAUCAGGUAGUUGGUGGGGUAAAGGCCUACCAAGCCUAUGACGGGUAGCUGGUCUUAUGAGGAUGAUCAGCAAGAGGGGGACUGCGACACGGCCCCCACACCUACGGGUGGCAGCAAUCGGGAAUCUUGCACAAUGGACGAAAGUCUGAUGCAGCGACGCCGCGUGCGGGAUGAAGGCCUUCGGGUUGUAAACCGACGCUAAGAAGGAUCGGCUAACUACGUGCCAGCAGCCGCGGUAAU
This 368-nucleotide ribosomal RNA is filed under the name uncultured prokaryote. Its description in RNAcentral is "bacterial SSU rRNA". It matches the Rfam family "Bacterial small subunit ribosomal RNA", at positions 105 to 524 of the family's 1533-position model. The record is from RNAcentral.